Molecule: ribosomal RNA, 483 nt
Filed under: uncultured bacterium
Lineage: Bacteria
Description: partial 16S ribosomal RNA
Rfam family: Bacterial small subunit ribosomal RNA
Source: RNAcentral
AUUGAACGCUGGCGGCAGGCCUAACACAUGCAAGUCGAGCGGAUGAAGGGAGCUUGCUCCUGGAUUCAGCGGCGGACGGGUGAGUAAUUCCUAGGAAUCUGCCUGGUAGUGGGGGAUAACGUCCGGAAACGGGCGCUAAUACCGCAUACGUCCUGAGGGAGAAAGUGGGGGAUCUUCGGACCUCACGCUAUCAGAUGAGCCUAGGUCGGAUUAGCUAGUUGGUGGGGUAAAGGCCUACCAAGGCGACGAUCCGUAACUGGUCUGAGAGGAUGAUCAGUCACACUGGAACUGAGACACGGUCCAGACUCCUACGGGAGGCAGCAGUGGGAAUAUUGGACAAUGGGCGAAAGCCUGAUCCAGCCAUGCCGCGUGUGUGAAGAAGGUCUUCGGAUUGUAAAGCACUUUAAGUUGGGAGGAAGGGCAGUAAGUUAAUACCUUGCUGUUUUGACGUUACCAACAGAAUAAGCACCGGCUAACUUCGUG